GGUCAGAAGGAAGCUUANAGGGGAACCUAAAANNACGGAAAGUGAGUAACACGUGGGCAACCUGCCCUGCAGACUGGGAUAACUCCGGGAAACCGGAGCUAAUACCGGGUAAUACAUCGCACCGCAUGGUGCAAUGUUGAAAGUUGGCUUUCUGAGCUAACACUGCAGGAUGGGCCCGCGGCGCAUUACCUAGUUGGUAAGGUAAGGGCUUACCAAGGCNACAAUNCGUACCCAACCUGAAAGGGUGAUCGGCCACACUGGGACUGAAACACGGCCCAAACUCCUACGGAAGGCACCAUUAGGGAAUCUUCCGCAAGGGACAAAAGUCUGACGNAGCACCGCCGCGUGAGUGACNAAGGCCUUCGGGNCGUAAAGCUCUGUUGUUAGGGAAAAACAAGUNCCGUUCGAAUAGGGCGGNCCUUGACGGCCCUAACCAAAAACCACGGCUAACUACNUGCCACAGCCGCGGUAAUACGUAGGUGGCAAGCGUUGNCCGGAAUUAUNGGGCGUAAANCGCGCGCAGGCGGCCUUUAAGNCGGAUGUGAACCCCACGGCUCACCCGNGGAGGNCAUUGGAACNGGAGGACUUGAGUCANAAAAGGAAGGGGAAUUCCCGUGUACCGGUGAAUGC
Molecule: ribosomal RNA, 630 nt
Filed under: Bacillus sp. (in: firmicutes)
Lineage: Bacteria; Bacillati; Bacillota; Bacilli; Caryophanales; Bacillaceae
Description: Bacillus sp. (in: Bacteria) partial 16S ribosomal RNA
Rfam family: Bacterial small subunit ribosomal RNA
Source: RNAcentral